This 491-nucleotide ribosomal RNA is filed under the name uncultured bacterium. RNAcentral's name for it is "partial 16S ribosomal RNA". It matches the Rfam family "Bacterial small subunit ribosomal RNA", at positions 29 to 506 of the family's 1533-position model. The record is from RNAcentral.
AGUGAACGCUGGCGGUAGGCCUAACACAUGCAAGUCGAACGGCAGCACAGUAAGAGCUUGCUCUUACGGGUGGCGAGUGGCGGACGGGUGAGGAAUACAUCGGAAUCUACUUUUUCGUGGGGGAUAACGUAGGGAAACUUACGCUAAUACCGCAUACGACCUACGGGUGAAAGCAGGGGAUCUUCGGACCUUGCGCGAUUGAAUGAGCCGAUGUCGGAUUAGCUAGUUGGCGGGGUAAAGGCCCACCAAGGCGACGAUCCGUAGCUGGUCUGAGAGGUUGAUCAGCCACACUGGAACUGAGACACGGUCCAGACUCCUACGGGAGGCAGCAGUGGGGAAUAUUGGACAAUGGGCGCAAGCCUGAUCCAGCCAUACCGCGUGGGUGAAGAAGGCCUUCGGGUUGUAAAGCCCUUUUGUUGGGAAAGAAAAGCAGCAGGUUAAUACCCCGCUGUUCUGACGGUACCCAAAGAAUAAGCACCGGCUAACUUCGU